Molecule: non-coding RNA, 269 nt
Organism: Pelobates cultripes (western spadefoot toad)
Lineage: Eukaryota; Metazoa; Chordata; Amphibia; Anura; Pelobatidae
Source: the annotation of a GenBank genome assembly
UAGUGAGGGAGGGGGUGACUAGUGACAUAGUGAGAGAGGGGGUGACUAGUGACAGAGUGAGGGACGGGGUGACACAGUGACAGAGUUAGGGAGGGAGUGACUAGUGACAGAGAGAGGGAUGGGGUGACUAGUGACAGUCACCCCCUCUGUCACUCUGUCACUAGUCACACCCUCUCUCACUCUGUCACCAGUCAUCCCUUCCUUCCCUCACUCUGCCACUAGUCAUCCCUUCCCUCACUCUGUCACCAGUCACCCCUUCCUUCCUUCAC